GUGAACAAGUCGGGGAAAUGGACUUGAACCUCUGACCUCAACCACCUCCUGAAACCAGUAAUUAUCCUUACAGUGACCCACCUUGUUUUUUAAAUAGAUAUUUAAUAGUGCUAUAACCAUGCAUGUAAAAGUCACCUUUAGACAGAAUGAAAAGGUAAGCCAAAAGUAGGAGGAACUAUUUGCAAAUCAUGUAUCUUAUGGAGACUUUGAGUCUACAAUAUGAAAAGUAAUAACUUACUAUGACUCAAUAAUAAAACAAAAUGGGGAAAAAGACUAGAAUUAAACAUUUUAUCAAAGAAGACAUUCAAACUGUCUUCUAAGAAUUAGAAGAAAAUGUUCUCCAAAUUGUUAGUCACUAGGAAAAUGCCAAUUGAAACCACGAUGGAGGGACUGGACUUCCUGGUUGAGGAGUCUGCCAUCCAGUAUCAGGGACUCGGGCUCAGUGCCCCUUCUGGGAGCUGAGAGCCUACGUGCAUCCAGGGAAGCAACCCCAUGCGCUGCGACUGCUGAGCCCGCACGCCACAGCUCAGGCCCGAUGUAGCCCGGUAGAUGAUAAACACACGAGAGGAGUUCAGUACACGUGGACCAGAGUCACUAUAAUAAAAAAAAAAUACCAGGCCUUACGAGGACUUCAAGAAAACGGAAGCUCCCCACAGUGCUGGUGGGGAUGAAAAUAGUACAGUCCCCACUGGAAACAUCCGCCAGUUUCUUAAGAAGCUAAACAUAAGCUUAGCAUAUGACCCAACAACGUCACUCCUGUGAAGCUCAAAGAAAUAAAAUCAUACUCGCUCAAACCCCAUCGGUGCUCUUAGCAGCACUGUUCAUAACAUGAAAUACGGAAGCAGAGUUGGACACAGCGGAGCAACUGAACUGAACUGAUGGAAGCAACUCCACUAGCAAACGGAUACACAAGUGUGGGAAGUCCGUGCACUGGACUUCCAGAAACAAAGUGACGAACAACGCAGAUGGACCUCAAGCUCAGCAGAGGAGGACGACGCAGAGUGUUAACACGCCGUGGGGUUUCAGUGCAGUGUUCAGAACAGAAACGUUUAAACCGAAGUCAGACCUGCGGCGACCUGGGGCUGAGUGGGGUGGGGCGGGGGCCUGGCUUCAGACAGGCUCAGUGGAGUUGUCGAGAGUGAAGACGUUAGCGUGGACCACGGUGCCGGCACGACUCUAUAAACUUACCAACUUACUGUAAAUAACAACUAAAUGUAUUGGGUCAAAAGUCUCUUCAAUGAAGUUAUUAAAGUUAUCUUUGGAAACUAAGUUUGAAGAACCAUAGAGAAAGUCCCUUUACUCAGAUAAUGUUUGACGGUAGACCGUGCUUUUAGUACGGCUCGCUCUGCACGCUCCUGCCCAGGCCAGCCGUACUCCGGAAUGAGCUCAAAUGUAACUUCGUGGCCCUGAACCCAAGCACAGCCGGCCGAUUUUAAGUCAAAUUUGACUUUGAACUGACCUUGACUCACAUCUCAGUUUCAUCUCCUCACUGACAAAUCAUCCUAAGCAUGGGCCCCUUGAAAUGACCUUGAAUCUGACCCUCCUCCUGAUCCUGUUAUAUUCCAACUUUCAAGUUAACACUGAGCCCUACCCACUGUGACAACUCCUCUCCAACCUGGGACUAAUCCACCUUAACGUCCCAUCAGCCCAACACCAUCUUACUUGUGUCCUGUACACACACAGCUACCUCACCUAGAUUUGGUUUUCCCUCAGUAAGAAGAGGUGGAGGCUGAACUCCACCACCGCAGUAUCUUUCCCCAUGUUCCUACC
Molecule: long non-coding RNA, 1770 nt
Organism: Bos taurus (domestic cattle)
Lineage: Eukaryota; Metazoa; Chordata; Mammalia; Artiodactyla; Bovidae
Source: Ensembl